UUUUGGACAAUGGGCGCAAGCCUGAUCCAGCAAUGCCGCGUGAGUGAAGAAGGCCUUCGGGUUGUAAGGCUCUUUUGUCAGGGAAGAAACGGUGAGCUCUAAUACAGUUUGCUAAUGACGGUACCUGAAGAAUAAGCACCGGCUAACUACGUGCCAGCAGCCGCGGUAAUACGUAGGGUGCAAGCGUUAAUCGGAAUUACUGGGCGUAAAGCGUGCGCAGGCGGUUAUGUAAGUCAGAUGUGAAAUCCCCGGGCUCAACCUGGGAAUGGCAUUUGAGACUGCAUGGCUAGAGUGUGUCAGAGGGGGGUAGAAUUCCACGUGUAGCAGUGAAAUGCGUAGAGAUGUGGAGGAAUACCGAUGGCGAAGGCAGCCCCCUGGGAUAACACUGACGCUCAUCACGAA
This 402-nucleotide ribosomal RNA is filed under the name uncultured bacterium. RNAcentral's name for it is "bacterial SSU rRNA". It matches the Rfam family "Bacterial small subunit ribosomal RNA", at positions 362 to 757 of the family's 1533-position model. The record is from RNAcentral.